Acanthosepion pharaonis is the source of this 83-nucleotide non-coding RNA. The record is from the annotation of a GenBank genome assembly. NCBI's taxonomy places the organism in Eukaryota, Metazoa, Mollusca, Cephalopoda, Sepiida, Sepiidae.
CAUAUGAUCACUGAAGUUAAGUGAGGCUGAGCAUGGUCAGUACCUAAGUGGGUGACCACUUGUGAAUACCAGGUGCUGUAUGC